Molecule: ribosomal RNA, 474 nt
Filed under: uncultured bacterium
Lineage: Bacteria
Description: SSU rRNA
Rfam family: Bacterial small subunit ribosomal RNA
Source: RNAcentral
AGAAUCAACGCUGGCGGCGUGCCUAACACAUGCAAGUCGCACGAGAAAGGGUAGCAAUACCUGAGUACAGUGGCGCACGGGUGAGUAACACGUGAAUAAUCUACCUCCGAGUGGGGAAUAACUGAGAGAAAUCUUAGCUAAUACCGCAUAACACUUACGAGUCAAAGCAGCAAUGCGCUUGGAGAGGAGUUCGCGGCAGAUUAGUUAGUUGGCGGGGUAAUGGCCCACCAAGACGAUGAUCUGUAUCCGGCCUGAGAGGGCGCGACGGACGACGACUGGAACUGAAACACGGUCCAGACUCCUACGGGAGGCAGCAGUGGGGAAUCUUGCACAAUGGGCGAAAGCCUGAUGCAGCAACGCCGCGUGGGGAUGAAGCUUCUCGGAGUGUAAACCCCUUUGACCCCGGAAGAAAGCCCGCAAGGGUUUGACGGUACGGGUAUAAGAAGCCCCGGCUAACUACGUGCCAGCAGCCGC